Molecule: ribosomal RNA, 492 nt
Filed under: uncultured bacterium
Lineage: Bacteria
Description: partial 16S ribosomal RNA
Rfam family: Bacterial small subunit ribosomal RNA
Source: RNAcentral
AGUGAACGCUGGCGGUAGGCCUAACACAUGCAAGUCGAACGGCAGCACAGUAAGAGCUUGCUCUUACGGGUGGCGAGUGGCGGACGGGUGAGGAAUACAUCGGAAUCUACUUUUUCGUGGGGGAUAACGUAGGGAAACUUACGCUAAUACCGCAUACGACCUACGGGUGAAAGCAGGGGAUCUUCGGACCUUGCGCGAUUGAAUGAGCCGAUGUCGGAUUAGCUAGUUGGCGGGGUAAAGGCCCACCAAGGCGACGAUCCGUAGCUGGUCUGAGAGGAUGAUCGGCCACACUGGAACUGAGACACGGUCCAGACUCCUACGGGAGGCAGCAGUGGGGAAUAUUGGACAAUGGGCGCAAGCCUGAUCCAGCCAGACCGCGUGGGUGAAGAAGGCCUUCGGGUUGUAAAGCCCUUUUGUUGGGAAAGAAAAGCAGCAGGUUAAUACCCCGCUGUUCUGACGGUACCCGAAGAAUAAGCACCGGCUAACUUCGUG